UGCUCAAGUGUCCACACUACAUUCUGGAAC
Molecule: non-coding RNA, 30 nt
Filed under: Mus musculus (house mouse)
Lineage: Eukaryota; Metazoa; Chordata; Mammalia; Rodentia; Muridae
Source: RNAcentral